This 32-nucleotide non-coding RNA is filed under the name Mus musculus (house mouse). The record is from RNAcentral. Lineage: Eukaryota; Metazoa; Chordata; Mammalia; Rodentia; Muridae.
UNGGACGUGUCGCUCCCUGAUUGGCUGCAGCC